RNAcentral lists this ribosomal RNA (676 nucleotides) under Tricholoma elegans. Its description in RNAcentral is "eukaryotic LSU rRNA". The stretch from base 300 to 453 matches the Rfam family "5.8S ribosomal RNA". The record is from RNAcentral. Lineage: Eukaryota; Fungi; Basidiomycota; Agaricomycetes; Agaricales; Tricholomataceae.
GAGGAAGUAAAAGUCGUAACAAGGUUUCCGUAGGUGAACCUGCGGAAGGAUCAUUAUUGAAUAAGUUUGGUUGGGUUGUUGCUGGCUUUUCGGGGCAUGUGCACGCCUAACACCAAUCUUUUUUUAAACCACCUGUGCACCUUUUGUAGACCUGGAUAUCUCUCGAGGAAACUCGGUAAGAGGACUGCUGUGCGUCAAAGCCGGCUUUCCUUACAUUUCCGGUCUAUGUCUUUAUAUACACCAUUAGUAUGUCUAUGAAUGUUUAUUUAUCGGACUUGAUUGUCCAAUAAACCUUAUACAACUUUCAACAACGGAUCUCUUGGCUCUCGCAUCGAUGAAGAACGCAGCGAAAUGCGAUAAGUAAUGUGAAUUGCAGAAUUCAGUGAAUCAUCGAAUCUUUGAACGCACCUUGCGCUCCUUGGUAUUCCGAGGAGCAUGCCUGUUUGAGUGUCAUGAAAUUCUCAACCUUCUCAACUUUGUGUUGAUUGGGCUUGGAUGUGGGGGUUUGCUGGCUUCUCUGAAGUCCGCUCUCCUUAAAUUYAUUAGUAGGACCUAUGUUGCCUUUGCUUUUGGUGUGAUAAUUAUCUACGCCAUUAUGUGAAGCAGCCAUUUAAUUGGGGUUACUGCUCUCUAACCGUCUCUUAUGGGACAAUUCUUGACAAUUUGACCUCAAAUC